This 253-nucleotide ribosomal RNA is filed under the name uncultured bacterium. RNAcentral's name for it is "partial 16S ribosomal RNA". It matches the Rfam family "Bacterial small subunit ribosomal RNA", at positions 524 to 776 of the family's 1533-position model. The record is from RNAcentral.
UACGGAGGGAGCUAGCGUUGUUCGGAAUUACUGGGCGUAAAGCGUGCGUAGGCGGUGAUCUAAGUCAGAGGUGAAAUCCCGGGGCUCAACCCCGGAACUGCCUUUGAAACUGGGUCGCUAGAAUCUUGGAGAGGUCAGUGGAAUUCCGAGUGUAGAGGUGAAAUUCGUAGAUAUUCGGAAGAACACCAGUGGCGAAGGCGACUGACUGGACAAGUAUUGACGCUGAGGUACGAAAGCGUGGGGAGCAAACAGG